CGUUGAGGAAAUAGGAGGGAUCGAAAGCUCAGUUAUGGUCAAGAGGAGCUAGUCGGGUCUCACCCAGUCGAAUCCGCUCACCAAUCGAUGAGAAAGAGGCCAUGGGAAUCUUGAACAAUACUUAUGGAACUGGGUCUCGAUGAUGAUGGAUUUUGAUAGGCAAAUACUUUUGAGCCUUUGAGAUUUCAAUGGCAUAUGUAUACAAAUAUCGGACCUUCUUCAAUGCUGGGGAUUGGUUUCUCUGACUUGAGACUUGGAUUAUUUUGGUCCUGAAGAUUACCCAAAUGAUCCUCAUGAAUGAAAGAAGGUCUAAACAUUAGGCGAUCAUCAUGCAAUGGAAGAUCAAGUUGGACUUUCUAAGGGUUCAGUUGCGCUUAGUUUUUACAGAAAGAAUAGGGAAUGAGGGAUUAGAAACAUUGUGAUCUUGUCAUCUGGGUUUAGGCAACUAUGUUUAUGUUGCUUUUAAAUAUGCAAAUUCAUAAAUCUCGUUUGAGUUUUCUUUUUAAUAUACAUGCUUUGUAACAUAUACAUAUUCUUUGUAACCAAAAUGAAAUACAUGUAGUACUUUGUAACAGAUACAUACUCUUUGUAACCAUCUUCUCUUCCAAAUUGAUGUAAUCAUAAAUAUUAUUUUGUCCAUG
Fragaria vesca subsp. vesca is the source of this 641-nucleotide RNA transcript. RefSeq lists it as uncharacterized. NCBI's taxonomy places the organism in Eukaryota, Viridiplantae, Streptophyta, Magnoliopsida, Rosales, Rosaceae. The record is from RefSeq and is a predicted model, not a curated record. The transcript has 3 exons.